GGCGUGGUAGCAAAAUUGGUUAUGCAGCCGCCUGCAAAGCGGCUAUAUGCCGGUUCGAGUCCGGUCCACGCCUCAA
This 76-nucleotide transfer RNA is filed under the name Candidatus Kerfeldbacteria bacterium CG_4_9_14_3_um_filter_45_8. RNAcentral's name for it is "tRNA-Cys". It matches the Rfam family "tRNA". Rfam says of the family: Transfer RNA (tRNA) molecules are approximately 80 nucleotides in length. Their secondary structure includes four short double-helical elements and three loops (D, anti-codon, and T loops). Further hydrogen bonds mediate the characteristic L-shaped molecular structure. tRNAs have two regions of fundamental functional importance: the anti-codon, which is responsible for specific mRNA codon recognition, and the 3' end, to which the tRNAs corresponding amino acid is attached (by aminoacyl-tRNA synthetases). tRNAs cope with the degeneracy of the genetic code in two manners: having more than one tRNA (with a specific anti-codon) for a particular amino acid; and 'wobble' base-pairing, i.e. permitting non-standard base-pairing at the 3rd anti-codon position. RNAcentral also lists the same sequence under 1 other name. The record is from RNAcentral. Lineage: Bacteria; Candidatus Kerfeldiibacteriota.